GAGGGCCUAAUUCUGUUGUGAAAAAUAAUUCUCCCAGUAGAUAUCAAAAUCGACGCUUAAACCUCAGAUCUCUGCUCCCAAACUGUGCAAAUCUUAGGCCAAGCCACAAUAAUAUUUGAUUCAAGCAACUGUACAUUGAUUUUGGGCACAUUUUACCUUUAGCAGAUCCUGUUAGGGUUUGCCUCUCCACUCCAGGAAAGUAUACAUUCAAGGAGAGUCUCGGGAAACUAGAUGCGUAGCAAAUAUUGCAGUAAGCAUAUCUACCUCCCAUGUUCGCUUGCGAAACGAUUUAUGUGUUUAGAAUGUGUCCU
Molecule: non-coding RNA, 311 nt
Organism: Pelobates cultripes (western spadefoot toad)
Lineage: Eukaryota; Metazoa; Chordata; Amphibia; Anura; Pelobatidae
Source: the annotation of a GenBank genome assembly